UACGUAGGGUGCGAGCGUUGUCCGGAAUUACUGGGCGUAAAGAGCUCGUAGGUGGUUUGUCGCGUUGUUCGUGAAAACCGGGGGCUUAACCCUCGGCGUGCGGGCGAUACGGGCAGACUUGAGUACUGCAGGGGAGACUGGAAUUCCUGGUGUAGCGGUGAAAUGCGCAGAUAUCAGGAGGAACACCGGUGGCGAAGGCGGGUCUCUGGGUAGUAACUGACGCUGAGGAACGAAAGCGUGGGUAGCGAACAGG
This 253-nucleotide ribosomal RNA is filed under the name uncultured bacterium. Its description in RNAcentral is "partial 16S ribosomal RNA". It matches the Rfam family "Bacterial small subunit ribosomal RNA", at positions 524 to 776 of the family's 1533-position model. The record is from RNAcentral.